Molecule: ribosomal RNA, 700 nt
Filed under: uncultured Bacteroidota bacterium
Lineage: Bacteria; Pseudomonadati; Bacteroidota
Description: bacterial SSU rRNA
Rfam family: Bacterial small subunit ribosomal RNA
Source: RNAcentral
AUAGUGGCGCACGGGUGCGUAACACGUAUGCAACCUACCUUACAUCGGGGGAUAGCCUUUCGAAAGGGAGAUUAAUACCGCAUAAGACAGUAGCUGGGCAUCCAGCAGCUGUUAAAGAUUUAUCGAUGUAAGCUGGGCAUGCGUCCAAUUAGCUAGUUGGUGAGGUAAUGGCUCACCAAGGCUAUGAUUGGUAGGGGAACUGAGAGGUCAAUCCCCCGCACUGGCACUGAGAUACGGGCCAGACUCCUACGGGAGGCAGCAGUAGGGAAUAUUGGGCAAUGGACGCAAGUCUGACCCAGCCAUGCCGCGUGCAGGAUGAAGGCGUUAUGCGUUGUAAACUGCUUUUAUACAGGAAGAAACGACUCUUGCGAGAGGCAUUGACGGUACUGUAUGAAUAAGCACCGGCUAACUCCGUGCCAGCAGCCGCGGUAAUACGGAGGGUGCAAGCGUUGUCCGGAUUUAUUGGGUUUAAAGGGUGCGCAGGUGGUUUAUUAAGUCAGUGGUGAAAGACGGUCGCUCAACGAUUGCAGUGCCAUUGAAACUGGUAGACUUGAGUAAAGUAGAGGUGGGCGGAAUUGAUAGUGUAGCGGUGAAAUGCAUAGAUAUUAUCAAGAACUCCAAUUGCGUAGGCAGCUCACUUGGCUUUUACUGACACUCAUGCACGAAAGUGUGGGUAUCAAACAGGAUUAGAUACCCUGGU